AGCGAACGCUGGCGGCAGGCCUAACACAUGCAAGUCGAACGAACCUUUCGGGGUUAGUGGCGGGCGGGUGAGUAACACGUGGGAACGUGCCUUUAGGUUCGGAAUAACUCAGGGAAACUUGUGCUAAUACCGAACGUGCCCUUCGGGGGAAAGAUUUAUCGCCUUUAGAGCGGCCCGCGUCUGAUUAGCUAGUUGGUUGAGGUAAUGGCUCACCAAGGCGACGAUCAGUAGCUGGUCUGAGAGGAUGAUCAGCCACAUUGGGACUGAGACACGGCCCAAACUCCUACGGGAGGCAGCAGUGGGGAAUCUUGCGCAAUGGGCGAAAGCCUGACGCAGCCAUGCCGCGUGAAUGAUGAAGGUCUUAGGAUUGUAAAAUUCUUUCACCGGGGACGAUAAUGACGGUACCCGGAGAAGAAGCCCCGGCUAACUUCGUG
This 434-nucleotide ribosomal RNA is filed under the name uncultured bacterium. RNAcentral's name for it is "partial 16S ribosomal RNA". It matches the Rfam family "Bacterial small subunit ribosomal RNA", at positions 29 to 507 of the family's 1533-position model. The record is from RNAcentral.